UACGUAGGGGGCAAGCGUUGUCCGGAAUCAUUGGGCGUAAAGAGCGCGUAGGCGGUCCGGUAAGUCGGUUGUGAAAACUGGGGGCUUAACCCUCAGAGGCCGACCGAUACUGCCGGGCUAGAGUCCGGAAGAGGCGAGUGGAAUUCCUGGUGUAGCGGUGAAAUGCGCAGAUAUCAGGAGGAACACCAAUGGCGAAGGCAGCUCGCUGGGACGGUACUGACGCUGAGGCGCGAAAGCGUGGGGAGCAAACAGG
This 253-nucleotide ribosomal RNA is filed under the name uncultured bacterium. Its description in RNAcentral is "partial 16S ribosomal RNA". It matches the Rfam family "Bacterial small subunit ribosomal RNA", at positions 524 to 776 of the family's 1533-position model. The record is from RNAcentral.